AUACGGAGGAUGCGAGCGUUAUCCGGAUUUAUUGGGUUUAAAGGGUGCGUAGGCUGUGCGUUAAGUCAGGGGUGAAAUGCCGUCGCUCAACGACGGAGCUGCCCUUGAUACUGGCGUGCUGGAGUACGGAUGCCGUUGGAGGAAUGAGUGGUGUAGCGGUGAAAUGCUUAGAUAUCACUCAGAACACCGAUUGCGAAGGCUACUGACGAAUCCGUCACUGACGCUGAGGCACGAAAGCGUGGGGAUAGAACAGGAUUAGAUACCCUGGUAUUCCACGCCGUAAACGAUGAUGACUAACCGUCGGCGAUAGACAGCCGGUGGCCAAGCGAAAGCGAUAAGUCAUCCACCUGGGGAGUACGUCGGCAACGAUGAAACUUAAAGGAAUUGACGGGG
Molecule: ribosomal RNA, 393 nt
Filed under: uncultured bacterium
Lineage: Bacteria
Description: partial 16S ribosomal RNA
Rfam family: Bacterial small subunit ribosomal RNA
Source: RNAcentral